RNAcentral lists this ribosomal RNA (253 nucleotides) under uncultured bacterium. RNAcentral's name for it is "partial 16S ribosomal RNA". It matches the Rfam family "Bacterial small subunit ribosomal RNA", at positions 524 to 776 of the family's 1533-position model. The record is from RNAcentral.
UACAGAGGUCCCAAGCGUUGUUCGGAUUCAUUGGGCGUAAAGGGUGUGUAGGUGGCGCCGUAAGUCGGGUGUGAAAUCUCGGGGCUUAACUCCGAAACUGCAUUCGAUACUGCGGUGCUUGAGGACUGGAGAGGAGACUGGAAUUCAUGGUGUAGCGGUGAAAUGCGCAGAUAUCAGGAAGAACACCCGUGGCUAAGGCGGCUCUCUAGUACGGUACUGACGCUGAGACGCGAAAGCGUGGGGAGCGAACAGG